Molecule: ribosomal RNA, 253 nt
Filed under: uncultured bacterium
Lineage: Bacteria
Description: partial 16S ribosomal RNA
Rfam family: Bacterial small subunit ribosomal RNA
Source: RNAcentral
UACGAAGGGGGCUAGCGUUGCUCGGAAUUACUGGGCGUAAAGGGCGCGUAGACGGCGCUGCAAGUCAGGCGUGAAAUUCCUGGGCUUAACCUGGGGGCUGCGCUUGAGACUGUGGUGCUAGAGGAUGGAAGAGGCUCGUGGAAUUCCCAGUGUAGAGGUGAAAUUCGUAGAUAUUGGGAAGAACACCGGUGGCGAAGGCGGCGAGCUGGUCCAUUACUGACGCUGAGGCGCGACAGCGUGGGGAGCAAACAGG